CCCAGCGUCGCGGGAGAACCGGCCCGCGCCGGUGCCGAAGGAGCAAUCGCCCCGAUAAACUCUCAGGCCCCAGGACCGCGACGUGGCA
This 88-nucleotide non-coding RNA is filed under the name Paracoccaceae bacterium. Its description in RNAcentral is "Rhodobacteraceae bacterium Glycine sequence". It matches the Rfam family "Glycine riboswitch aptamer". Rfam says of the family: This family represents the bacterial glycine riboswitch. Glycine riboswitches usually consist of two metabolite-binding aptamers domains with similar structures in tandem. The record is from RNAcentral. Lineage: Bacteria; Pseudomonadati; Pseudomonadota; Alphaproteobacteria; Rhodobacterales; Paracoccaceae.